This 257-nucleotide long non-coding RNA is filed under the name Ananas comosus (pineapple). Its description in RNAcentral is "long non-coding RNA (ACOM_LNC010481)". The record is from RNAcentral. Lineage: Eukaryota; Viridiplantae; Streptophyta; Magnoliopsida; Poales; Bromeliaceae.
GUAUCCACGCUGUUAGUGUGCAUUUGAUUCUCGGAUAGCUUCUAAAGCUGUUGCGAUUCGUAUCCACGCUGUUAGUACGCAUUUGAUAUGCGGAUAGCUUAGGAGCUGUAGUUUAUUUGUAUCGCCGCAGUUGGUUGGCCGUGGAUACCCAGGAUAGUGUAGAAUGUAUUUACGCUCGUGUUGGGAUGCCGAGCUUAUUUUUACAGCAGUGUUUAGGCUGUUUCGGACUGUCGGAUGCCGUUGAGGUUAUCGGUAGA